This 2298-nucleotide long non-coding RNA is filed under the name Homo sapiens (human). RNAcentral describes it as "non-protein coding lnc-GSDME-3:1". The record is from RNAcentral. Lineage: Eukaryota; Metazoa; Chordata; Mammalia; Primates; Hominidae.
AGUGGAAGGCUCAUGGGAGUCUGAUUAAAGCUGAGAAAAGUGGGGAAACAAUGAUUAACUCACACAGGCUGGGAAUUAAUUAUCUCCAACCAACACAUUCAGUAUCAAAGUGAGCCGAUCUCACUCACUGUCAGACACUGCAGAGUGAGAAACAGAUGAUGGUUCUGUGGCAAACGUCCUUUUGCUGAAUAUUCUACCUACGUGGCAACAAAAACUUUGGCCCCAGCAGUUUCUCACUCUCCAGCUACUCCACUGGCAACUUCCAACAAUUUGUCAAAGUGACCACUUGCAUGCUCUUGCCAGUCUAUGGCUCCAGUUGCUUCUGUUCCAGGUAAGCAGACCUCUGCUAUAUUCUCUGUCUCUCCAGAUUUUGGGGUGAUCAUUUGUCCUGUACAAGUACAAGUCAUUGAUUUUCAGUUUGUCCAGCUUUUUCUUGUUGUUAGGAUAAAAGUGGUGACUUCCAAGUUCUUAUGUGUUGGAACUGAAACCAGAAGUCUACAUACUUGUUUCUAAAACCGGGUUUCUUAAAAACUCUCUGAACCUCAGUUUCAACAUUUGUGACUGGAUGUAACAAUAUCUACCUUCUAUGGUGAUUGUGGGGAAUAAAGGAGAAAAUGUGAAGUGCCUAGCACAUAAUACCCAGCAAUGAUUGGAUAAUGGUACCCAUCCCCUCCUCUCCCCUGCAAUGAAAUCACUAGAAGUGUGCAGGCCAAAGUAGAAAGAACCCCGGGUAAGAACAAGGUGAAGAUUUAGUAUCAGAAGGGGGAAAAAGUUCUUUACAAUCUUUCCUGCCUCUGAUUUUCCAUAGUCUUCUCACUCCCAUUUUCUAAAUGUGGUCACUCUUAAGAGAAAGUUAAUUAACAGAAUAUGCAAAUUAAAGAGCAGUUAUAACACUAAUUAACAUUUUCAUAAUAAUAGCUAGUCCAGUUCUGUACAUGUGUAAAUCAAGACAUCAGUGUCUCUGCUGCCUACAGAACUUCACACUGGAAAAUUGCAAUUACUUUGCUAUCAAAGCAGAACUGAGAAGCGUGGAAAUGGUGGCUUCUAAAAGCCUCUUCGUUUAACACAGUGUCCGAAUAGGUCGAUACCAUGCUCUGAUAGAUGAGCAAUGACUUUGAGCUUCAUUGUGGCCCAUCCUUUGGUUGGCAAGCAGUGGAUGGAAUGAUGACACAAUAGCAUCCCCUGCAGGACUGAGGUAACAACCCCAGAACUUGAGCGGCGACUUCUUUACCUCUUCCCCCUCCCUCUUUCAGUCCCAGGAAACUAAAGCUGUACCUUUUCAAAAUGUGGGCAAGCUGGAUUUUGCUGUGCUUUGCUGGAAGAUAGUCACAACUUGUUGAACAACUCCCCUGAGGACAAAGCAAUUGGGCGGCUCCGAACGCUCAGGGAAAGAAGUUGUGUUGGUAAAGAAAUUGCUGGCCAGGUGCGGUGGCUCACGCCUGUAAUCCCAGCACUUUGGGAGGCCGAGGCGGGCAGAUCACGAGGUCAGGAGAUUGGGACCAUCCUAGCCAACACGGUGAAAUCCUGUGUUUACUAAAAAUACAAAAAUUAGCUGGGUGUGGUGGUGCGCGCCCAUAGUCCCAGCUACUCUGGAGGCCGAGGCAGGAGAAUUGCUUGAACCGGGAAGGUGGAGGUUACAGUGAGCCGAGAUGGCACCACUGCACUCCAGCUUGGUGACAGAGUGAGACUCCAUCAAAAAAAAAAAAAAAAAAAGAAAUUGCUGUGCCAGCCAUAGGAGUUUUUGUGCAGCAACAUAAGCCAUCUUCCCAUACAUGCUUUGUGCAGCAUUAGCUGAAGACACACACCUGAAUUUAUGGGGCUCAGGAUGGCUCUCUGUCCCUUUAUUAUAGAUUACAUGCUGGAAAAUCAGGAUAGAGCUAGAUACUCUUAAAAAAAAAAACAAAACAAAAUUUUGCCACUAUGACCAUGUCUUUGUAGGCUGUGAUAGACUUGCUUUCUAAACGCUUCCUCCAUCUAUGCUUUCCAACAUUCACUGAAGUUUUCACUCUCCUAUGUUUAUGUAAAUGGGACAAAACUCUUGAUUUUUCAGUUAAUAUAAGAAAUUACACAAAUGCAUUGACUUCAAGUUCUUUUCCAGUUCUUUUCUGGUUUGAUAGAGUGAUAUUUUCAUUAAUUACACUAGUUAAGAAUUGUGAACCCCCAAAAUAUGAGACAGGUCUCAGUUAAUUGAAAAAGUUUAUUUUGCCAAGGUUGAGGACACCCGUGACGCAGCCUCAGGAAGUCCUGAUAACAUGUGCCCAAGGUGGUUGGGGCACAGCUUGGUUUUAUACAUUUUAG